UUUUUUUUUUAUUUUUUAUUUUAUGUUUGUUUUCUCCUGUCUGAACUCUGGAUAUAUGAAGCAUUUUUCUAUAAUUUUUGCUCACUGCAAUGAAAAGCUUGCCUCUUGGAACGUCUGCGUGUACGACUGUAUCCCCAAAUAAUAUUAUUUUGGAUGCAACUAUUAUAAGCUUGACCUUAUAUGAUAAUCGUUAAAUCACAUUUACAUCUAGAUUUAUGUAUUUAUUAUACUCUACAUGCUUUAAUCUAUUCUGCAUAAAUAUUUUAUAUUAGAUGCACUGUAUUAUUUUUAAUUGUUGUGUUAAUGUUAGGUUCAAAAAGUUUCCAGUUGUCUAGACAUUGCCUUGAUCAUCAAUUACUCAUCAUAUAAUGUUAAUCAUCUUUGCAUUAUUCCAAUCAAAUCUACCCUUUUCAGUGACUUCCUUCUUGGGAUUCAUCUGGUAUAUUGUUUGCUUUUAAUUGCUGAAAUAAUUGUGUGAGGAAACUUGAGAAAAUGGUUCUUUUAAUAGCCUAAUGUCAUUUACAUGUCAAUAUAACAG
RNAcentral lists this unclassified non-coding RNA (538 nucleotides) under Hevea brasiliensis (rubber tree). Lineage: Eukaryota; Viridiplantae; Streptophyta; Magnoliopsida; Malpighiales; Euphorbiaceae. The record is from RNAcentral.